RNAcentral lists this ribosomal RNA (484 nucleotides) under uncultured bacterium. RNAcentral's name for it is "partial 16S ribosomal RNA". It matches the Rfam family "Bacterial small subunit ribosomal RNA", at positions 30 to 507 of the family's 1533-position model. The record is from RNAcentral.
AUUGAACGCUGGCGGCAGGCCUAACACAUGCAAGUCGAGCGGAUGAAGGGAGCUUGCUCCUGGAUUCAGCGGCGGACGGGUGAGUAAUGCCUAGGAAUCUGCCUGGUAGUGGGGGAUAACGUCCGGAAACGGGCGCUAAUACCGCAUACGUCCUGAGGGAGAAAGUGGGGGAUCUUCGGACCUCACGCUAUCAGAUGAGCCUAGGUCGGAUUAGCUAGUUGGUGGGGUAAAGGCCUACCAAGGCGACGAUCCGUAACUGGUCUGAGAGGAUGAUCAGUCAUACUGGAACUGAGACACGGUCCAGACUACUACGGGAGGCAGCAGUGGGGAAUAUUGGACAAUGGGCGAAAGCCUGAUCCAGCCAUGCCGCGUGUGUGAAGAAGGUCUUCGGAUUGUAAAGCACUUUAAGUUGGGAGGAAGGGCAGUAAGUUAAUACCUUGCUGUUUUGACGUUACCAACAGAAUAAGCACCGGCUAACUUCGUG